RNAcentral lists this ribosomal RNA (253 nucleotides) under uncultured bacterium. RNAcentral describes it as "partial 16S ribosomal RNA". It matches the Rfam family "Bacterial small subunit ribosomal RNA", at positions 524 to 776 of the family's 1533-position model. The record is from RNAcentral.
GACGAACCGUGCGAACGUUGUUCGGAAUCACUGGGCUUAAAGGGCGCGUAGGCGGUCUGCCAAGUCCGGGGUGAAAGCCCCCAGCUCAACUGGGGAAGUGCCUUGGAUACUGGUGGACUCGAGCGAGGUAGGGGUCGUGGGAACUUCCGGUGGAGCGGUGAAAUGCGUUGAUAUCGGAAGGAACGCCGGUGGCGAAAGCGCACGACUGGACCUCUUCUGACGCUGAGGCGCGAAAGCGUGGGGAGCAAACAGG